Molecule: RNA transcript, 998 nt
Organism: Piliocolobus tephrosceles (Ugandan red Colobus)
Lineage: Eukaryota; Metazoa; Chordata; Mammalia; Primates; Cercopithecidae
Gene name: actin, cytoplasmic 1-like
Exons: 1
Source: RefSeq, a predicted model, not a curated record
GCCCAGACCGCGUCCGCCCCGCGAGCACAGAGCCUCGCCUUCGCCGCUCCGCCGCCCGUUCACACCCGCCGCCAGCUCACCAUGGAUGAUGAUAUCGCCGCGCUCGUUGUCUACAACGGCUCUGGCAUGUGCAAGGCCGGCUUCGCGGGCGAAGAUGCCCCCCGGGCUGUCUUCCCCUCCAUCGUGGGGCGCCCCAGGCACCAGGGCGUGAUGGUGGGCAUGGGUCAGAAGGAUUCAUAUGUGGACGACGAGGCCCAGAGCAAGAGAGGCAUCCUCACCCUGAAGUAACCCAUCGAGCACGGCAUCGUCACCAACUGGGACGAUGUGGAGAAGAUCUGACACCACACCUUCUACAAUGAGCUGCGUGUGGCGCUAUCCUGCGUCUGGACCUGGCUGGCCGGGACCUGACUGACUACCUCAUGAAGAUCCUCACUGAGCGCGGCUACAGCUUCACCACCACCACGGCCGAGCGGAAAAUCGUGCGUGACAUCAAGGAGAAGCUGUGCUAUGUCGCCCUGGACUUCCAGCAGGAGAUGGCCACAGUGGCUUCCAGCUCCUCCCUGGAGAAGAGCUAGGAGCUGCCCGAUGGCCAGGUCAUCACCAUUGGCAACGAGCAGUUCCGCUGCCCUGAGGCUCUCUUCCAGCCUUCCUUCCUGGGCAUGGAGUCCUGUGGCAUCCACGAAACUACCUUCAACUCCAUCAUGAAGUGUGACGUGGACAUCCGUAAAGACCUGUACGCCAACACAGUGCUGUCUGGUGGCACCACCAUGUACCCUGGCAUUGCCGACAAGAUACAGAAGGAGAUUACUGUCCUGGCGCCCAGCACGAUGAAGAUCAAGAUCAUUGCUCCCCCUGAGCGCAAGUACUCUGUGUGGAUCGGCGGCUCCAUCCUGGCCUCGCUGUCCAUCUUCCAGCAGAUGUGGAUCAUCAAGCAGGAGUAUGACGAGUCUGGCCCCUCCAUCGUCCACCGCAAAUGCUUCUAGGGGGACUGUGACUUA